GACGAACGCUGGCGGCGUGCCUAAUACAUGCAAGUCGAGCGGACUUUCAAGAAGCUUGCUUUUUGAAAGUUAGCGGCGGACGGGUGAGUAACACGUGGGCAACCUGCCUGCAAGACGGGGAUAACUCCGGGAAACCGGGGCUAAUACCGGAUAAUAUCUUCCUUCGCAUGAAGGAAGGUUGAAAGGCGGCGCAAGCUGCCGCUUGCAGAUGGGCCCGCGGCGCAUUAGCUAGUUGGUGAGGUAACGGCUCACCAAGGCGACGAUGCGUAGCCGACCUGAGAGGGUGAUCGGCCACACUGGGACUGAGACACGGCCCAGACUCCUACGGGAGGCAGCAGUAGGGAAUCUUCCGCAAUGGACGAAAGUCUGACGGAGCAGCGCCGCGUGAGCGAAGAAGGUCUUCGGAUCGUAAAGCUCUGUUGUCAGGGAAGAACAAGUACCGUUCGAACAGGGCGGUACCUUGACGGUACCUGACCAGAAAGCCACGGCUAACUACGUG
RNAcentral lists this ribosomal RNA (499 nucleotides) under uncultured bacterium. Its description in RNAcentral is "partial 16S ribosomal RNA". It matches the Rfam family "Bacterial small subunit ribosomal RNA", at positions 28 to 507 of the family's 1533-position model. The record is from RNAcentral.